UCAUUUAGCCAAACUGCUAAAACACGUUGCUUUAUACGUCGAAACGCUGCCAUAGAUCACAGAUUUGCUUUCAAAUAUGUUUUAUUCAUUUCUCAGCCCUCUUACCUGCGACUGAACACCACGAGCUCAUGAUCUGAACAACACUGAUUCAUGCCCACAAGAGGGCGCUAACGACUACACCUUGACUUAUUUGGCACUUGACAUUGAGCUAUUUAAUAACCUACCUAAUAGAUGCAUUAUAAUGUCUUGGUGUCUACAUUUUAAAUUAUACAUAUGUGGAGUGUAAAUGACUUAUCAGACUUUAAAUAAACGAGGCUUUAACGCUGUAACUCGUCCUGUUAGGGACUCUAGUGCAGUUCUCCAUCCGCUCCACCAGGCGGCGCGCGCGACUUCCCGUUCAGUCUGACCCAGAGCUUCAGGAUGUUGACAGUGUGACGUUUGUUUUGGUGCAGAAGCAGCACGAGUGUGCAGUUUUAAACACAUAAACUGAAGAUGACAGCUCAGCGACAGUGUUUUAAUGUCACUAAACAACAUUUAAUGCAGUCCGACAACUAAAAUAACCGACACACGCUGAGAUAAAGGACAGGAAUGCAGUGAAAAGCCACUCAUCUAGAAUGAGGGAUGUGUUUGGACCGUACAGUCAACAGAAGCAGAGCUCCGGGACGUUUGGACUACAUUUACUGGCGUGAUGGACGUCUGCUGCGGACAGG
Non-coding RNA from Danio rerio (zebrafish), 710 nucleotides. The record is from RefSeq and is a predicted model, not a curated record. NCBI's taxonomy places the organism in Eukaryota, Metazoa, Chordata, Actinopteri, Cypriniformes, Danionidae.